GUCGGUGGACAGGUGUGCAUGGUUGUCGUCAGCUCGUGUCGUGAGAUGUUGGGUUAAGUCCCGCAACGAGCGCAACCCUCGUCCUAUGUUGCCAGCGGGUCAUGCCGGGGACUCAUGGGAGACUGCCGGGGUCAACUCGGAGGAAGGUGGGGAUGACGUCAAAUCAUCAUGCCCCUUAUGUCUUGGGCUUCACGCAUGCUACAAUGGCCGGUACAAAGGGCUGCGAUACCGCGAGGUGGAGCGAAAUCCCAGAAAGCCGGUCUCAGUUCGGAUUGGGUCUGCAACUCGACCCCAUGAAGUCGGAGUCGCUAGUAAUCGCAGAUCAGCAACGCUGCGGUGAAUACGUUCCCGGGCCUU
Molecule: ribosomal RNA, 357 nt
Filed under: uncultured Cellulomonas sp.
Lineage: Bacteria; Bacillati; Actinomycetota; Actinomycetes; Micrococcales; Cellulomonadaceae
Description: bacterial SSU rRNA
Rfam family: Bacterial small subunit ribosomal RNA
Source: RNAcentral